Molecule: transfer RNA, 69 nt
Filed under: Rattus norvegicus (Norway rat)
Lineage: Eukaryota; Metazoa; Chordata; Mammalia; Rodentia; Muridae
Rfam family: tRNA
About the family: Transfer RNA (tRNA) molecules are approximately 80 nucleotides in length. Their secondary structure includes four short double-helical elements and three loops (D, anti-codon, and T loops). Further hydrogen bonds mediate the characteristic L-shaped molecular structure. tRNAs have two regions of fundamental functional importance: the anti-codon, which is responsible for specific mRNA codon recognition, and the 3' end, to which the tRNAs corresponding amino acid is attached (by aminoacyl-tRNA synthetases). tRNAs cope with the degeneracy of the genetic code in two manners: having more than one tRNA (with a specific anti-codon) for a particular amino acid; and 'wobble' base-pairing, i.e. permitting non-standard base-pairing at the 3rd anti-codon position.
Source: Rfam by way of RNAcentral
GGGGAUUUAGCUCAGCGGUAGAGUGCUUGCCUAGCAGGUGCAAGGCCCUGGGUUCGAUCCCCAGCUCCG